UUGCCGUCUCGUUACUGCCCUGCUCGGCCUCCGACGAAACGGCUCCAUAAAGCUGCCCGUAAACUCGAAGCACAGGCUUUUGCACCUCCGUAUGGCUGCAGAGGAGGUGCGAAUGCGCACACGCAAAGCUCGAUGAGCGGGGGGUUUUCGGAGUGUUACGAGGCAUUGACGUACAGUGAGCACAAACGCACCAAGGAGCUCUGCUUUCCUUUAGGGCUCUAGGAGCAAAGGCAGUGAAGGUCGUAAGGCUCCGCUAUCUGCAUACGUGCUUUUAUGAGGCUACAAAUGCUCUCUGCACAGUUAUUCAUGCGCUGCCAGACGUAACGCGCUACAGCUGUUUGCAUGCAGAAAGGAGCAGUACUACAGUGCAAUAAGCAGAAAAAAGGGUUUACAAAACAGAACCUUCAGGGUGUAGGCGCUGUUUUCCACAAAGCACGAACCAUGCACAAAUUAGUGGGAUUUUCAAAUAGGACCUAGGGGUUCCACUGGCGCUGACCUCAGGUGUUCUGUAGGUCUCUGUUUCCAAACGAGGCAAUGUCCCAUCUGUCUCAUCUAGGCCAAGUAGGGCCAAGUCCCUGUCCUGCAAAGCAGCAGAGGCCACAAGCCUCUGUCCCACGCUGAGUAGUUGCGCUAGGAGCGCUUCACUUGCUAAUCACAAGCACAGUUUUUUUAGGAAGGAAGAGACACUUGAGGGAUUAUUUAUAAAAGUUAUUGAAGUUAUCUGUUUAACUUGAUAAUCCCUGACGGAGAAGCAGAGAUUUUCAGCUGAGGCUUACAUUUAGAAGUAAUUACAUGUGUCUGACUGUGGGGUACCUGUGUGGUGGCUGGGCACGGGGGCACGUUCAGCUCUCCUUCAACACAUGCUCUUUGCUCUUGGUUACAGUGGGGACAGCAGAAGGUCUGUGGGGACAGCAGGAGGCCACGGGGACAGCAAGAGGCCUUUGGGGACGGCAGGAAGCUCUGCAUGAGAUGGUGACCAAAGCUCCCGCAGCCGUCCCUGUGGCAAGAACACCCACAGCAGCAGGUAAUGUGCCCCUCCCACAGCAACUGACAGCCAGGAGCAAGAAAUGUUCGGGCAGCUUACAUCAUCGUUUGCCUGUAUCAUUAUCAAGGAGGAACUGAAAGCUGUUUUAUGAGGAGCAGACAGACAAGACUAGCUUGAGCUUGAGACAUAAAGAACUCAAACCACUAAGACACCUGAAGGCAUCCCAAUUAAGCGAUAUUACCAUCCCGAUCAAGAUGCAGUCAUUGUUAGUAAGCAUCCCUGAUUUCUAAGUGAGAUAUGCCAAUGAAACAGAUUUCCUGAUUAGGUGCACUUAAAUUAAGUGGAGAGAACUGCGUGGAGGAAAUGUGGAAAGGCUCUUGUAUGGGCCAGCUUCAUGGGCACUGUGUCACCUCCACUGACACAGAGCUUGGACCGCUAACCUCAAACCUGCAGUGCUGCCCAUGCCUGGGGCUGUGUGACCAUCCCACCUCCACCCUCUGCCUGCGAUCCCAGCACAAGGAGCAGUGCUGCUAGGCAUGCCCACAGCCACCUGCAUCAGAGCACCUUGGCACCUGUGCUCUGCCGAAAUCCCACUGGGUGCUGAGAAAGAGGCAGAGUGGUAUCUGAGAGUCUGCGGGGGCUGAUCUGAUAGAUAAUGGCUUGGGCUUUGGGAUGAAUCUGAAAGGAAGGUCCUCAUCAGCUCUGCACUGGAUAUUUCUGAGUUUUAGAGGUCAGACCUGCAUAGUUUUCAGAUGGUUGGACUCCAGGUGACAUGCUCUGGCAGGGCUGAAGGGAGGUUGGGGAGGAAGAAAACACAGACAGCAAGUCUUGCAGACACUGGUCCUUCUUAAAGCCCUGAGCUGUGCCUGCCAUGUGAGCUGGGCGAAGAAAGAAGGGCCCUACGCUUAAGUCCAGUGCUGAUGCCCUUCUUAACAUCCACUAUAGGCUCCUCCCAAACUGCUCUUCUGGUAGGAGAGCUCUGAAAGGAGCCUGCAGCAAAUGGGCCCCUGAGGAGAGGUUUGUGUCUCCUCAUGCAGCUCUUUUGCUCCAGAGCCCUGCCUUGUCUUACAUCCCCACACUGAAUAAGGCAAGGAAUGUGAGCCCUCCACCACACCUCUAGCUUUCAACAUUUGCUGAGCCUGUUUGUCUAUUAUUUUUUUUUUCCCCUAUGACUUUUGAGAUUGUAAUCUUGGCAAGGUAGGGACUGCCUCCUCUUCUGUGUUUCUAUACCAUCUAGCUCCUGAUUGUGUCCAGGAUCUUGGGUUGAUGUGCUAACAAUGAAUAAGCACAAAUAUUUGGGGGGUACUCUUCGUGGAUCCCUCUGAAACGGAUUGAGCUGGAAAUGUACCAAUUCCUUUGGAAGAGAAGGACUUUACAGUAACCACUUGAUUAAAACGAUCACUCUCUGCAGGGAUAAACACAGGUGUUGCCUUCAGUGAUGUUUGUCACAGAUUUGCAUACAAUGAAUAGCACACCAUGUCCCUCCUUCUUCUAAGUUUAGGGGAUGGCAGCAGCCGUCUAAACCUCUUUGAAGAAAAAGAUGACACAGAGUUUUCUUGCUGACCUGCAGCAAAGGUGUACUCUUGAGGUGUGCCUGCUUUUCAAUUUGCCUACCUAUAUAAAUUCCAAAUGUGGCAGCUUCGUGCAGUUAUUUCAUUUCGGAGGUCCCCUCCAAGUGUCUCAUCCUGACCUCGUAUGGCUGCAUGGCACGCAGUAAAUCAGUACAGAAAUCCAUCUCUGAAUCUCUUCUUUUUCAUUUUUCUUUUCAAAUUCUGCUUUUCCUUUCAAACGAGGCCAGCUCCUCAAGCCAUUAGGCUGAAUUGCAUCAGCUGUGGCUCUGGCUUGGGGAAAUUAAAGGUGAACACCUGUGCCAGCUCAGCAUCACCACAGUGCACGAGCACGUAGAAGAAGUUAAGUCACUGGAGAAUGAACAAGGCUGGAGCCUUAGUGGUGCUGGUGGAUCAGGUGCAUGCUAUGUGCUGGGUAGUGUCCUUGGGAGAGCUGCUUCUUUGGGCAGCCUCAGUGUGGCCUGGAAACAUCACAUUUCUGUGACUCAGCAGAGGACAUUUUUCUGGAGAGGCACUCCACCUGAGCUUUCUACAGCAGCCAAUGUGUCACAUAACUUCUCUUACGAGUCUCCUGAAGUCCUGGGGGUCAGCCUGCAAAGUGAAAAAUGCAGAGAUCUAGGAAUGGCUCAGCCAGCUGAAAGUUACGGGAAGGGAAAGGCUCCAGUUUCACUGAAGGAAA
Molecule: non-coding RNA, 3232 nt
Organism: Meleagris gallopavo (turkey)
Lineage: Eukaryota; Metazoa; Chordata; Aves; Galliformes; Phasianidae
Source: RefSeq, a predicted model, not a curated record